This is a long non-coding RNA of Coregonus clupeaformis (lake whitefish), 156 nucleotides long. RefSeq lists it as uncharacterized. Lineage: Eukaryota; Metazoa; Chordata; Actinopteri; Salmoniformes; Salmonidae. The record is from RefSeq and is a predicted model, not a curated record. The transcript is spliced from 2 exons.
UCCUUGGCCUUCCUCAGUCCAACAGCCUUAGCUAUCUGGAGGGCAGUGGAUCCUUCUUUCUUCACCUUUAAAAAGCCCACAGCUGGCUACAGUAGCCAACCGCAACAUGCUCACCUGGUAAGGUCGAAUGUCAUAUAAAUAAAGUGUGGAACUUUA